UGGGGAAUUUUGGACAAUGGGCGCAAGCCUGAUCCAGCCAUGCCGCGUGAGUGAAGAAGGCCUGGUUGUAAGCUCUUCGGCCGGGAAGAAAUCGUGGUCUCUAACAUAGGCCAUGGAUGACGGUACCGGACUAAGAAGCACCGGCUAACUACGUGCC
Molecule: ribosomal RNA, 157 nt
Filed under: uncultured bacterium
Lineage: Bacteria
Description: partial 16S ribosomal RNA
Rfam family: Bacterial small subunit ribosomal RNA
Source: RNAcentral